GACGAACGCUGGCGGCGUGCCUAAUACAUGCAAGUAGAACGCUGAAGGAGGAGCUUGCUCUUCUGGAUGAGUUGCGAACGGGUGAGUAACGCGUAGGUAACCUGCCUGGUAGCGGGGGAUAACUAUUGGAAACGAUAGCUAAUACCGCAUAACAGUAGAUGUUGCAUGACAUUUGCUUAAAAGGUGCAAUUGCACCACUACCAGAUGGACCUGCGUUGUAUUAGCUAGUUGGUGGGGUAACGGCUCACCAAGGCGACGAUACAUAGCCGACCUGAGAGGGUGAUCGGCCACACUGGGACUGAGACACGGCCCAGACUCCUACGGGAGGCAGCAGUAGGGAAUCUUCGGCAAUGGACGGAAGUCUGACCGAGCAACGCCGCGUGAGUGAAGAAGGUUUUCGGAUCGUAAAGCUCUGUUGUAAGAGAAGAACGAGUGUGAGAGUGGAAAGUUCACUCUGUGACGGUAUCUUACCAGAAAGGGACGGCUAACUACGUG
This 495-nucleotide ribosomal RNA is filed under the name uncultured bacterium. Its description in RNAcentral is "partial 16S ribosomal RNA". It matches the Rfam family "Bacterial small subunit ribosomal RNA", at positions 28 to 507 of the family's 1533-position model. The record is from RNAcentral.